GGAAAUUGAAAGGUUCGAUUUCUUCUCCUUCUUCUUUCGAUCGUAGCUCUGGUGACAUACUAAAACUCUCUAACCUAAAUUGCGGACGUGCUUGCAUAAGAUACGAUUCUUCAUUGGUUCCGCUAAGGGUUAAAACCCCAAGGGAAGAAUGCGGAGAGAAUUGGAUAAGUCUUGGAUGUUUGAGAAUGAUAGGUUUGGUCAAGUAUACAGAGAUGGGGUAAAAAAUUUCAUUAAAUAUGCAUCUACAUAUGGUCCUUGGAAAACCCUUUGUCCUUGCCCAUGUUCUAGAUGUCUAAAUGGGGGUCGUCUCGAUAUUAAGGAAGUGCAACAACAUUUGUACGAGUAUGGUAUCGACAAGUCGUAUAUCACUUGGGUCUUUCAUGGUGAGAAGCAGCCGGUUAAUAAUGUAAUGAGU
Long non-coding RNA from Papaver somniferum (opium poppy), 415 nucleotides. RefSeq lists it as uncharacterized. The record is from RefSeq and is a predicted model, not a curated record. Lineage: Eukaryota; Viridiplantae; Streptophyta; Magnoliopsida; Ranunculales; Papaveraceae. The transcript is spliced from 3 exons.